AGAGUUUGAUCCUGGCUCAGAACGAACGCUGGCGGCGGGCCUAACACAUGCAAGUCGAGCGCCCGCAAGGGAGCGGCAGACGGGUGAGUAACGCGUGGGAACGUGCCCUUUGGUUCGGAAUAUUCCCGGGAAACUGGGAGCAAAACCGGAUAAGCCCUUCGGGGGAAAGUUUACGCCAAGGAUCGGCCCGCGUUAGAUUAGGUAGUUGGUGGGGUAACGGCCUACCAAGCCUACGAUCUAUAGCUGAUCUGAGAGGAUGAUCAGCCACACUGGGACUGAGACACGGCCCAGACUCCUACGGGAGGCAGCAGUGGGGAAUCUUGGACAAUGGGCGCAAGCCUGAUCCAGCCAUGCCGCGUGGAUGACUGAAGGCCCUAGGGUUGUAAAGUCCUUUCGACGGGGACGAUAAUGACGGUACCCGUAGAAGAAGCCCCGGCUAACUUCGUGCCAGCAGCCGCGGUAAUACGAAGGGGGCUAGCGUUGCUCGGAUUUACUGGGCGUAAAGGGCGCGUAGGCGGAUUUUUAAGUCGGGGGUGAAAUCCCGGAGCUCAACUCCGGAACUGCCUUCGAUACUGGAAGUCUGGAGCACGGUAGAGGUGAGUGGAAUUCCGAGUGUAGAGGUGAAAUUCGUAGAUAUUCGGAGGAACACCAGUGGCGAAGGCGGCUCACUGGACCGUUGCUGACGCUGAGGCGCGAAAGCGUGGGGAGCGAACAGGAUUAGAUACCCUGGUAGUCC
This 736-nucleotide ribosomal RNA is filed under the name uncultured bacterium. RNAcentral's name for it is "bacterial SSU rRNA". It matches the Rfam family "Bacterial small subunit ribosomal RNA", at positions 8 to 796 of the family's 1533-position model. The record is from RNAcentral.